CAAUUCAUAAUUCCUGAGUUCUUUAAUUACUUUUAUUUACAUUCAAGUUAUUUAUUGGAUUCCCGCUUGCAUCAAAUGCUCUAGUCUUUAUAACGCUAGAGUAGUAAUUAAUAGAUUAGACGUGGUGUUUAGUCUUGCGAUUACCUGGAAUUGCACCCAAUCCUGCGGAUUGUUGUGGUAGCCUUAGGGUAGUGACAGCCCUAACGGUCGACGUAUUCCACCAUGUUCGGAUCGGUGUUUGUAGGACCGUAGUCAGACCU
Molecule: long non-coding RNA, 260 nt
Filed under: Sorghum bicolor (sorghum)
Lineage: Eukaryota; Viridiplantae; Streptophyta; Magnoliopsida; Poales; Poaceae
Description: long non-coding RNA (SBIC_LNC017535)
Source: RNAcentral